This 460-nucleotide ribosomal RNA is filed under the name uncultured bacterium. Its description in RNAcentral is "partial 16S ribosomal RNA". It matches the Rfam family "Bacterial small subunit ribosomal RNA", at positions 338 to 795 of the family's 1533-position model. The record is from RNAcentral.
CCUACGGGAGGCAGCAGUGAGGAAUAUUGGUCAAUGGCCGUAAGGCUGAACCAGCCAAGUAGCGUGAGGGAAGACUGCCCUAUGGUUUGUAAACCUCUUUUAUGCGGGGAUAAAUGUGUCCACGUGUGGAUGUUUGCAGGUACCGCAUCAAUCAGGACCGGCUAAUUCCGUGCCAGCAGCCGCGGUAAUACGGAAGGUCCGGGCGUUAUCCGGAUUUAUUGGGUGUAAAGGGAGCGUAGGCCGGUCUUUAAGCGUGCCGUGAAAUUUUGUGGCUCAACUAUGAGAGUGCGGGGGGAACUGUAGACGUUGAGUGCGGGGAAGGCAGGCGGAAUUCGUGGUGUAGGGGUGAAAUGCUUAGAGAUCAAGAGGAACACCGAUUGCGAAGGCAGCCUGCCGCAGCGUUACUGACGCUGAAGCUCGAAAGCGCGGGUAUCGAACAGGAUUAGAUAACCGAGUAGUC